CCAACAAAAACAACAGCAGCAACAACAAAAAAUAAAACACAAACACAAACAGCAGCAACAACCUCAAAACCGGUCACAACCAAACCCCCAGCUGCUUCUGACCAAGACAAGAAGCAUCCAGAGGCCCUGAGCUCAGGAAGUGUUGCUGCCAUUGUAAUUUGCUUUAUUGCCAUUGUACUAAUUUUACUUGGUGGUGCAUACUACUUCAAAAUGCGACGCUCUACUUACGGACGUCUCUUGGAUGAUAGUGAACACAGCUCUUUGGGGAAUUUUCUUAACCCCGUGUUUGAUGGCUAAAUGGGGAAGUGUUCAUGAAGAAACAUUUUUUUUUCUAAAGGAAACAUCCUACACGUCUCUUGCAAUUUAUGGUAACAUCAGAUUCAGUAUUUUGGAUCUAAAAUAAGAUGCACUGACCAGAAUCAUCAGGACGUUUCAGAGUGUAGGCAACACUUCCUGUGAGUAUUAGUAUGAAGGCAGGUUACGGGGCAUUUUGGUCCAGUUAAAAGAAAAUGUUAAGUGAUGUCCUAGAAAUGUAAUGUUUGUGUAAUGUAUCAUCUUGGGUAUAUUGUUUAACUUCCUCAUAUUGCUUGCUCUGUUUGUCUCAUGAUGAUGAUUUUUUUUUUUUUUUUAUCGAAGCCUCAUCUCUCAAACAGGCCAAAAUGCGAUCAUUAUUGGUCUCAAAGAGUGACCUUAUCAUAUACCAUAAUUACAGCUCUGGCCUCAGCUGUGGCCUCCCACUAUUCAUCCAAAGACAGUCUCUGUUUUAAAAGUGAAGACCGUUUAACAUUUCUGUAACCUCAACAAUAACAGAUUUUUCCCCUUGUCAUUAUAAUGGCAGGGACUCACAAGCAGCAUGCAAUUAAGCAUUUAAACCGUCAAGACUGUUAUUAGAGACAUAAAAAUAAGCCAUCAAGCAAAUUGAGGCACAUUACCGAAACAUCUGGUGUUCUUGGCUGUUUGAGAUGGGGUUUAGUUAGUCGUGCUACAGCAGUUUGCCACGUCCAGAUAUGCGUUUUUGAAUGUUUAAACCCUUUUCUGUAGUUUCCUCUCCUAGUUUUUUGCUACCUGUUUAACAGAAACCACUGUUUCCUGUUUUUGCAAAUGCUCUAGUUUCAAGAAUGGUAUAAACCACAGGAGCACUGCCUAAAUCUCUGGUCUAAAGCUGCAGCAACUGAUUGUAAAAAAGGUCAAUGUCUAUGUAAAAGUAUUAAAAAUCACUAAUAUAUCAUAUAAUAGAUUUUUUUUCUUCUUAUUUCACGAGUACUUUAUUGGACAGAACAUUUGUUUAAAAUCAGAGGAGUUCCUGUGUGUUGUACUUUUUCCUGUGUGAUUAAUGUUUCAUGCCACUUUCAUGAAGAUGUUUUAGAAAACUAUAUUUAGAUGGUGUCCCAAAUUUUAGUUGCAGAAAUGGCAAAACUCAUAUGAAUAAAUGAGUGGAGAAUAAAACGGCUCAUAUAAAACUGAA
Long non-coding RNA from Carassius auratus (goldfish), 1465 nucleotides. RefSeq lists it as uncharacterized. The transcript has 3 exons. The record is from RefSeq and is a predicted model, not a curated record. NCBI's taxonomy places the organism in Eukaryota, Metazoa, Chordata, Actinopteri, Cypriniformes, Cyprinidae.